AAAUGGAGUGCUUGGAUUGUGUUUCUGUUAAAAUAUUUCAGAAACGUUUUGUUCUCAAACUUGGGUUUCCAGCUGGACUACGGCCCCCAUCAUCCCUGGCCGCUGGUCCUACUAGCCAGGGACGAUGGGAGUUGUAGUCUGACGACAGCCGGGGACCCAGGUUUGAGAAAACGCUUGAUGUCUGAAGUUCACCGUCCUGUCUUCUCAGCGGCCGACCAGAUGCCCCGGUGGAGUUGCUGGAUCAGGCCCUGUCCUUGCUGCAGUCAACCAGACCCCCCACCCGUGGCAGGUCCUGAGUGUGAAUCUCUCCACUCAAGAUCCCCGGCAAUCUCCUGCAAUAGGAGAACUGUGGUGAGCAGCUAUUGUAGACUUUUCCGCAUCCCCCCUCCUAAUUCUCUUUUAAAGCCUGCCUCUUACAGGAAGCGUUGCCGCUUCUGAAUUAUUAUUAUUAAUCUCUGGAGGUUUGUAUCCUGCCUUGUUCCUCUCCCAAAGGGGUUUCGAGGUAGCGUGUGAAUUGCUCUGCCCCAAUCCGACCCUACAAAGUAGGUUUUGGCUGCGAGAGGCACAGCGAGCGGGAGGAUUUGAACUCGAAUCUUCUCCCAGGCAAAUCUGGGACGCUGCCAGCGCUGGCGCCACAGCUGGGUCUUCUCAACUACCGCUGUGAUAGGAAUUUUAUGGUCUUAGAUAUAUGGUAAUGUUCAUAAGCGUACCAACCAAGCACCUACAUAGAUCAGCACAGGAAGACCGACCUGGAACCAUUUUGAUUCCUAAACUGAGCAAAUCUUUUCUCUGCAAGGCAGGGGGUUGGACCCGAUGGCCCUUGUGGUCUCUUCCAACUCUAUGAUUCUAUGAAAAUGGAAAAGCCUCCCCAUUGUCUUUUCCUUCACAAAUCCUGUCUUAAGGAUAUGUCUGUGUUUGAAUAGGGUGAGCCUGUGACCUGGCCCAGGAACUAAGUAUUUAUCAUUACAAAAGACUGGCUAGGAAAUCCAAUCAAGUAACCUGCCAGACAGGAGAUAAACAACAACAGGAGAAAAACAAUAUUAAAAUUUCUGUGAUAUAGGUGUGAUGUUUCUGGGGGUGGUCUUGAUCUACAGGGUGGCAAUUUCAAAAGUCUUUAUAAGGCCUUGCAGGCCAUUUUUCUGGGUCCCUCCUCUCUCCUGCGGGUGAGGGGAGCACCCUGUUGCAACAGAUCAAUAAAGAUCAAGCUUACUAGCUGCUUUGCUUCUCAAUAUUCUCUGGUUGGCCUCUGUUAUUUUCUCCUACCAAUAGGGAACCUAUGUAAGGACUCUAUAUGGGCUCUUGGAUACCCCAUAAGGGAAAAGAGCAAUUUUUUGUUUACAACACCGCCCGGCAACACCAUGCCAGGAAAAAGCCAAACAAACCACGAGAGUGCAAGGGAUUUGCUUUCCCGCAAGUAAGCGUAAAAAGAAAGAAAAAAUGAGGCAGAGCGACAAUUGCUUAGCUCAGCGACGGGGGCGGGUGGGAGGGAAGGAGGACGUCAAUCGUGCCUUCGGCUAACAAUGCCCUCUGUGAUCGCGUCUGCUGCUCUCGCCCUCUCCCCCUGCCGCUGCCUCCCGGCAGAUCCUGCCAAGGUAAUUUUCACGCAGAGGAGCGGUGGCUUUUUCAAGCCGGAUGACUCAGUCGGAGCCAGGAGAAGGGGCGACUGCAGAUUGCUUUUUUUCGCCCAAGGACGCAGAUUCCCGUCACAGCACCCACGGAGGCCCCCUGGGGAGACGUAAGUCGCCUCCGUAAAGGACUUACGCACAACCCAAAACGUGUCGUCCUUUCUCCCUGGGGAGCUCCAGGCCCCCCCUCCAAAAAAACAACAACACGCCGUUGCCUAAGACCUUUGCAAAAGGGGUUGCUUCAAAGACCCGUUGCAUGGAUCCCCAGAGAGGGCCUUUUGCUCACGAGUAGCAGCCCGUUCAUCCCCAUUUAUUUAUCUCAAUUUGAUGUGCUGUAUCUUUUUUUGCAUGUGUCCUGGCCUUCGCAGGACAGUGGGGGGGGGAGCAGAAGUGGGGCACAAUGGUUAGAGCAUUGGGCCAUGAGCUGGCUGACCAGGGUUCAAAACCCCAAUCCACCCUGAAGCUCGCUGGGUGAUUUUUGGGCCGGUUGCUGUCUCUUAGCCUAAGCUACCUCGCAGGGUUGCUGCAAGGAUGGAACAGGGAGAACCGCCUUGAGGUCAGUGGAAGGUAGAGGUGGAAUGCAAAUGUUAACAAAUAAAAACAAAAUAAAAACAAUCAAGCAAAAAGACACCAGCUGCCCUUGAACCGAGUCAGUGGAUCAUUCUUAUAAGAGCACCUCUUUCAGAAAUCAGCGCCGAGGUUUUGGGUUUUCCUCUUCCCUCCCUGUCCCCUUUCCCUUGCGUGUUGUGGAGGGUUUUGGUUUUUCCCCUCCAUCUUCUAACGCAGUUGUCCUGCGGAGAUACCAACUGCCUCGCUUUGUUUGCAAGCUGCUCCCGAAGCCAUUUGGGCAGGGUGCACAAAGGCAAUUAACAAAGAAACGAACAGAAACAAAGGGCCUCCCCCCCCCGCCAUUGCUGCAGAACCUGACGACACCCCGCCUUUCUAUUCAUAUAGGAAGAUAUCCACAAAAGGGUUUCUGGAGAGAGUGGCAAACCCUUUCGGGUUCUUAACCGUGGGGUUCCCAGAAAUGGGAGGAGAGGGUGGGGGUUUUUUGGGGGGGAGCAGAAAAGAGAGGGGGGCCCUCUACUUUCCUAGCCAAGUAAACAAUAGUGUAUGGAGAAUUUUAUAUCUAUAUAUGCAAGUACAUUCAGCCAAGCAACAUCAAUUUUUAAGUGUUUCGGCAGGGAAGGAGGGAGCAGAGGACGGGGGGGGAUGUAAAGCAGCCACCCCUCCAAAGCGCCUUCUUCUUCUGAUCAAUGGAAACCUUAAUGAGUUUCCCUCCCCGCAAUGUAAGCCAGCUCCUGCCUCCGCAAGUGACUCACUCUCCUGGUUUUCUCUUCUCCCUGUGUUGCCACCUCUGCCUGCAGCUUAGCUGGUGUUCUCAAACGCCGCGGGAGUCGCCAUCCCGAAAAAGGGUUUUUUCCUGGCGCUCUCUUAACACGGCACCCCAAACCCUAGACAAAAAGGGGACCCCUCUGCUAUGCCAAGUCUCUCUCCCCCCCCCCCGGCGCAGAUGCAGAACCUGAUGACACCCUGCAUUUCUAUUCAUAUAGGAAGAUAUCCACAAAAGGGUUUCUGGAGAGUGUGGCAAAACCGCCACUUUCACCCACAGGGGUCCUCCGUCGGUUGGGGCGCAGCCCGAAUCUGCAACCGUGCAGCGCCGUUCGGGCAUGCCGCCUUGCAGCAGCUGCCGCAAGCAAACUCCCUAACUCCCAAGUUGCUAGACCUCAUGACUUUGGAAAGCAGGACACCCCGAGGGGCCGGAAGGGAAUCGAUUCCCGUAGCUCGCGUAGCUGCGGAGAUGGCAAGGGCUAUUUCAAUAUUGCGGUACCCUGGCUCACGUGUUUAUUUCUUAAAAGCAGUUCCACGGGCGACAGCGAGUGAGCCGGUGUCCCUCGCAGCUGUUUUGCUCGACGGCUAUUCUGCCCAAGCAGGUAUCUCAGGUGGGAAAAGCCAAUGGCAUGUGAGGUUAAAACCUCCGCCGAUUCCAUGUUAGUGCAGGGUCAAGGAGGUUAGGUCAAGGAGUUUAUAUUCUUCUCCUCCUGAACCCCCUGAACCCUGGCCGCGUGCUUUAGAUCUAAUUUAAGGAAUUCUGCCCAAGCGGGUGAAAUCUUGGGGCUCCCCCCUCAUGCCCCGCCAAGCUUUUAUUUGUAGUGGGGUAGGAGAAGAAAAUAGGGACAUGGGUGGCGCUGUGGGUUAAACCACAGAGCCUAGGGCUUGCCGAUCAGAAGGUCGGCGGUUCGAAUCCCCAUGACGGGGUGAGCUCCCGUUGCUCGGUCCCUGCUCCUGCCAACCUAGCAGUUCGAAAGCACGUCAAAGUGCAAGUAGAUCAAUAGGUACCACUCCAGUGGAAAGGUAAACGGCGUUUGCGUGCACUGUUCUGGUUCGCCAGAAGCGGCUUAGUCAUGCUGGCCACAUGACCCGGAAGCUGUACGCCGGCUCCCUCGGCCAGUAAAGCGAGAUGAGCGCCGCAACCCCAGAGUCGGCCGCGACUGGACCUAAUGGUCAGGGGUCCCUUUACCCUUUACCUUUAGGAGAAGAAAUGUAUUUAGCGUUAAGGCUGGGAGUGCGUACCCAAUUCUGACCAAACGUAGCCUCCUGGAUGUAUACUGUGCUUCUGACCGCGUGGGCAGAGAGCAGCUGUCCUGGCUACGAAUUCUGCUCCUCGGAUUUGUGCGGUCUUCUUUUAGAGCUAUCCAAGGCGGCGGCCCAUGGGUCCCCCCUGUGGCAGGAAGUUCCACAGUUGAACGCUUCAAAGAUCUUAGGGGCUGUCACACGGAAGAGGGAGCAUGCUUGUUUUCUCCUGCUCUGGAAGGUAGGACUCGAAUCCAUGGCUUCAGAGUGACAAGAAAGGAGGGGUUGGGUGGCCAUCUGUCAUGGAUGCUUUAGCCGAGAUUCCUGCAUUGCAGGGGGUUGGACUAGAUGACCCUCGGGUCCCUUUCUCUUUUUCUAUGUACUCUGCACUGUGAGGAUGACAUUUUCUUUGGUCUGUGCUGAAUGACCCCAGAGUUCCAUUAUUACGAGAAAAAAACCUGCCUCCCUAUCGACUUUCUUCACCGCAGGCACAAUCUUACCUUUUCUUCUAACCUGUCAGGGAGCUUUGCACUGCCUUCUCUGACUGUCAGACCCAGCCAGAGGUUUUUGCUCCACUCGCAAAGGUUCUUUUCCCCGGGCCACAAAAUGUUUGGGAACUUGGGAUUAUUUUGCACCCGUUCUGAGCUGGUUUUUUAAAUAGCGGUGUGUGUUUUUAUGUCUUCCGAGCGUUCGGGAAGAUCAUAUAAAACCCAGGGGAUAUUCUUCGACAGAUAACCCACCCUGCCGUAAGCCGAACUGCAAAGCUUCUAAAGCGAAGAGUCGGAUUGAAAACGUUAUUUUUUUUUAAAAGGGAGAAUUUCAAAAUGCAACAAAGCUUUUUAUUUCGCUCUUCAAACCGAAGGUCGCGGAAGGUGGAAAAGAACAGCUUUUCUCCGGAAAAGAAAACCUUUUAAAAGCAACAACAAUAACAAUAAAUCUGGAUAAAAGGGGGUGGGGGCGGCAGAACUUUUUAAGAGCCGGUGUUCCCUAGGGGUGGGUGGGUGUGCCAAGGAGGGGAAAAGCCAACCCACCACAUUGUCAAGAAUGCCGACUGACAACUCUUCAGGAUGCGGCCGAUUCGACGGGCGGUGAAUAACGGCAGCGAUUAACGCCGCAGAGAUGAUGAUCAGCCGCCGGUGCCCACAGAGGGGGCCGACACAGUGCAGAGAGGCGGGGGUUGGCGUUUUGCGCCAAGUUGGCCAGAGGUUUCGGGCUAGGGCCGCGAGCACGGCCAAAGGGAGCCAUAGAGGCCUGAAACUUCAGAAGGGCGCUGGCAGGGCAUGGCACAGGAGGGGAGCUGGGGCUCUGGGUGGGUGGAGAACGUGGGAACUGUGACCAGGAAACACCAGGAAGGGGCCCUGGCACGGAACUGCAGCGGUGAGAAGCGCCGCCAAGAACGUACAUUAACUUUCCAAGAAGGCAAGGAACUUGCAAGGUGACCGGCCGCGAUCUGGGCAUUUUUGGAGGGGCACCUAUUG
Molecule: non-coding RNA, 5677 nt
Organism: Podarcis lilfordi (Lilford's wall lizard)
Lineage: Eukaryota; Metazoa; Chordata; Lepidosauria; Squamata; Lacertidae
Source: the annotation of a GenBank genome assembly